GCCAGACUCCUACGGGAGGCAGCAGUGAGGAAUAUUGGUCAAUGGGCGCGAGCCUGAACCAGCCAAGUCGCGUGAGGGAUGACGGCCCUACGGGUUGUAAACCUCUUUUGCCGGGGAGCAACGGGCGCCACGUGUGGCGCCACUGAGAGUACCCGGAGAAAAAGCAUCGGCUAACUCCGUGCCAGCAGCCGCGGUAAUACGGAGGAUGCGAGCGUUAUCCGGAUUUAUUGGGUUUAAGGGGUGCGUAGGCGGAUCGUUAAGUCAGUGGUCAAAUUGAGGGGCUCAACCCCGUACUGCCGUUGAAACUGCAUCCCUUGAGUGCGCGAGAAGUAUGCGGAAUGCGUGGUGUAGCGGUGAAAUGCAUAGAUAUCACGCAGAACUCCGAUUGCGAAGGCAGCAUACCGGCGCCCAACUGACGCUGAAGCACGAAAGCGUGGGUAUCGAACAGGAUUAGAUACCCGAGUA
RNAcentral lists this ribosomal RNA (465 nucleotides) under uncultured bacterium. Its description in RNAcentral is "bacterial SSU rRNA". It matches the Rfam family "Bacterial small subunit ribosomal RNA", at positions 330 to 792 of the family's 1533-position model. The record is from RNAcentral.